AGAGUUUGAUCCUGGCUCAGGAUGAACGCUAGCUACAGGCUUAACACAUGCAAGUCGAGGGGCAGCAUGGUCUUAGCUUGCUAAGGCCGAUGGGGACCGGCGCACGGGUGGGUAACGCGUAUCCAACCUGCCUUACACUCUUGGACAGCCUUCUGAAAGGGAGAUUAAUACAAGAUGUUAUCAUGAGUAAGCAUUUUCGCAUGAUUAAAGGUUUACCGGUGUAAGAUGGGGAUGCGUUCCAUUAGAUAGUAGGCGGGGUAACGGCCCACCUAGUCUUCGAUGGAUAGGGGUUCUGAGAGGAAGGUCCCCCACAUUGGAACUGAGACACGGUCCAAACUCCUACGGGAGGCAGCAGUGAGGAAUAUUGGUCAAUGGACGAGAGUCUGAACCAGCCAAGUAGCGUGAAGGAUGAAGGUUCUAUGGAUUGUAAACUUCUUUUAUACGGGAAUAAACGAAUCCACGUGUGGAUUUUUGCAUGUACCGUAUGAAUAAGGAUCGGCUAACUCCGUGCCAGCAGCCGCGGUAAUACGGAGGAUCCGAGCGUUAUCCGGAUUUAUUGGGUUUAAAGGGAGCGUAGAUGGGUUGUUAAGUCAGUUGUGAAAGUUUGCGGCUCAACCGUAAAAUUGCAAUUGAUACUGGCAGUCUUGAGUACAGUUGAGGUAGGCGGAAUUCGUGGUGUAGCGGUGAAAUGCUUAGAUAUCACGAAGAACUCCGAUUGCGAAGGCAGCUUACUAACCUGUAACUGACAUUGAUGCUCGAAAGUGUGGGUAUCAAACAGGAUUAGAUACCCUGGUAGUCCACACGGUAAACGAUGAAUACUCGCUGUAGGCGAUAUACAGUCUGCGGCCAAGCGAAAGCAUUAAGUAUUCCACCUGGGGAGUACGCCGGCAACGGUGAAACUCAAAGGAAUUGACGGGGGCCCGCACAAGCGGAGGAACAUGUGGUUUAAUUCGAUGAUACGCGAGGAACCUUACCCGGGCUUAAAUUGCAACCGAAUAUGGCGGAAACGCUAUAGCUAGCAAUAGCGGUUGUGAAGGUGCUGCAUGGUUGUCGUCAGCUCGUGCCGUGAGGUGUCGGCUUAAGUGCCAUAACGAGCGCAACCCUUGCCGAUAGUUACUAACAGGUUAUGCUGAGGACUCUGUCGGGACUGCCAUCGUAAGAUGUGAGGAAGGUGGGGAUGACGUCAAAUCAGCACGGCCCUUACGUCCGGGGCUACACACGUGUUACAAUGGGGGGUACAGAGGGCUGCUACCACGCAAGUGGAUGCCAAUCCCAAAAACCUCUCUCAGUUCGGAUUGAAGUCUGCAACCCGACUUCAUGAAGCUGGGUUCGCUAGUAAUCGCGCAUCAGCCACGGCGCGGUGAAUACGUUCCCGGGCCUUGUACACACCGCCCGUCAAGCCAUGGGAGCCGGGGGUACCUGAAGUGCGUAACCGCAAGGAGCGCCCUAGGGUAAAACUGGUGACUGGGGCUAAGUCGUAACAAGGUAGCCG
RNAcentral lists this ribosomal RNA (1492 nucleotides) under uncultured bacterium. RNAcentral describes it as "16S ribosomal RNA". It matches the Rfam family "Bacterial small subunit ribosomal RNA". The record is from RNAcentral.